RNAcentral lists this ribosomal RNA (274 nucleotides) under uncultured bacterium. RNAcentral describes it as "partial 16S ribosomal RNA". It matches the Rfam family "Bacterial small subunit ribosomal RNA", at positions 523 to 796 of the family's 1533-position model. The record is from RNAcentral.
AUAUGGAGGGUGCAAGCGUUACUCGGAAUCACUGGGCGUAAAGCGCGCGCAGGCGGCUAUUUAAGUUGGAUGUGAAAGCCUACGGCUCAACCGUAGAACUGCAUCCAAAACUAUUUAGCUAGAGUGUGGGAGAGGAAGAUGGAAUUAGUUGUGUAGGGGUAAAAUCCGUAGAGAUAACUAGGAAUACCAAAAGCGAAGGCAAUCUUCUGGAACACUACUGACGCUGAGGCGCGAAAGCGUGGGGAGCAACCAGGAUUAGAAACCCUAGUAGUCC